This 231-nucleotide long non-coding RNA is filed under the name Parus major (Great Tit). Its description in RNAcentral is "lncRNA (ENSPMJG00000006375.1)". The record is from RNAcentral. Lineage: Eukaryota; Metazoa; Chordata; Aves; Passeriformes; Paridae.
CCUACAGAUAUUACUAACGUUGUGCCCACAACAGACGUCUCAGAUCUCACUGACUCCUUAAAGAAGAAGAGAAGGGAUGGAAAAAUACUUCCAAAUACUUGAAGUACUGCUGUGUGUGACUUUCUCAGAGAAGCGUUGCCCUUCAUGUUCAAGAGCAUCUAGAAACACACUACAGACUUGGAUUGGUGAAUGGAACCUUUUGGCCUGUUUGACAAGACUAUCAGCAUUCUU